This 135-nucleotide non-coding RNA is filed under the name Paenibacillus sp. RNAcentral's name for it is "SAM-I sequence". It matches the Rfam family "SAM riboswitch aptamer (S box leader)". Rfam says of the family: The SAM riboswitch is found upstream of a number of genes which code for proteins involved in methionine or cysteine biosynthesis in Gram-positive bacteria. Lineage: Bacteria; Bacillati; Bacillota; Bacilli; Caryophanales; Paenibacillaceae. The record is from RNAcentral. RNAcentral also lists the same sequence under 1 other name.
UUCUUAUCGAGAGAGGCGGAGGGAUAGGCCCGAUGAAGCCCGGCAACCGAUUAAGGAGUAAUGAACGUUAUCACUCUUUAAUGUCAUGGUGCUAAUUCCUACAGAUCGCAUACAGGCGUUUCUGGCAGAUGAGAG